CCCUAAGAUACUCUGGGCCGCACGCGGGUUACAAUGACGAUGUCAACGAGUGAGAAUUAAGGGGCUGCAUGGGCAACCGUGUGGUUCUUCGUCCUGGUUCGAAAGAAUUGGGUAAUCUUGGGAAACGUCGUCAUAUCUGGGAUUGAAGAUUGUAAUUUCUUCAUGAACGAGGAAUGCCUUGUAGACGCAGUUCAACAGACUGCAUCGAAUAUGUCCCUGCCCUUUGUACACACCGCCCGUCGCUCCUACCGAUUGAAAGCAUAGAUGAAUUUCAGGGAGAAAAUAGGUUGAUGUGAUGGUUUGGUCUUUCGGGGCUGGAUGAUUGCACUAUUUCAAACUGAUGUGAAUCUCUUCUUUUAGAGGAAGGAGAAGUCGUAACA
Molecule: ribosomal RNA, 380 nt
Filed under: uncultured eukaryote
Lineage: Eukaryota
Description: partial 18S ribosomal RNA
Rfam family: Eukaryotic small subunit ribosomal RNA
Source: RNAcentral